GACGUAGGGUGCAAGCGUUGUCCGGAAUUAUUGGGCGUAAAGAGCUCGUAGGCGGUCUGUCGCGUCUGCUGUGAAAACUCAGGGCUUAACCCUGAGCUUGCAGUGGGUACGGGCAGACUAGAGUGCGGUAGGGGAGACUGGAAUUCCUGGUGUAGCGGUGAAAUGCGCAGAUAUCAGGAGGAACACCGGUGGCGAAGGCGGGUCUCUGGGCCGUAACUGACGCUGAGGAGCGAAAGCAUGGGGAGCGAACAGG
This 253-nucleotide ribosomal RNA is filed under the name uncultured bacterium. RNAcentral's name for it is "partial 16S ribosomal RNA". It matches the Rfam family "Bacterial small subunit ribosomal RNA", at positions 524 to 776 of the family's 1533-position model. The record is from RNAcentral.